This 345-nucleotide ribosomal RNA is filed under the name Triticum aestivum (bread wheat). RNAcentral describes it as "partial small subunit ribosomal RNA". Lineage: Eukaryota; Viridiplantae; Streptophyta; Magnoliopsida; Poales; Poaceae. The record is from RNAcentral.
AUGCUUGAGAUUAUGAGGCAUAUGGGAUUCAAUUACAAGUGGCUUUCAUGGAUCAGUUCUAUCUUUUCUUCUGGUAAAUCCUCUGUGCUUCUAAAUGGUGUUCCAGGCAGACAAUUCCACUGCAAAAGUGGUGUUCGGCAAGGAGACCCAUUGUCCCCACUCCUUUUUGUUAUUGCAGCUGAUCUCCUUCAAGAUGCAAUUAAUGACGCCUUCCGACAAGGGAAGAUCCGCCUGCCCUUUGAAAGACAACGACAGCUUGAUUACCCUAUUAUUCAAUAUGCGGAUGACACAAUAAUUAUCAUGCCAGCAUGUCCAGCUCAAGCACAUACUAUGAAAGGUCCUUAA